GCAAGUCGAACGAGAAAGCUUCUUCGGAAGCAAGUAGAGUGGCGCACGGGUGAGUAACACGUAGAUAACCUGCCCCUUAGUCCGGGACAACCCUUCGAAAGGGGGGCUAAUACUGGAUAACACUAAGAAUCGAAUGGUUUUUAGUUGAAAGAUUCAUCGCUGGGGGAUGGGUCUGCGUACCAUUAGCUAGUUGGUGGGGUAACGGCCUACCAAGGCUUCGAUGGUUAGCGGGUCUGAGAGGAUGAUC
Molecule: ribosomal RNA, 247 nt
Filed under: uncultured bacterium
Lineage: Bacteria
Description: partial 16S ribosomal RNA
Rfam family: Bacterial small subunit ribosomal RNA
Source: RNAcentral